Molecule: RNA transcript, 5930 nt
Organism: Bactrocera neohumeralis
Lineage: Eukaryota; Metazoa; Arthropoda; Insecta; Diptera; Tephritidae
Gene: ckn
Exons: 10
Source: RefSeq, a predicted model, not a curated record
CGUGCCCGGUUGGAGCAAAGCUAAAGUUUUUAUUUUGUACGCCGCUUAGGACAUAGAAAAACCAAUAAAGUUGGAACCAGUUUGUGUAAAUAAAAUCUAACAAAGCGCAUAAGCACUGUGUGACUAAUAUAUGGUUUAACAUUUGUUUAAGAAAAAAAAGUCUAAGAAUUGUGUGAGUGUGUGUAGAUUAUAAAGUCUACUAUUAAGCUAGAGAUUAGCAGAUAGUAAAAGUGUAUGUCUACUACACAUAGUUUAAAAUUUAAUGUGAAGAGUGUUUAAACAAAGUCGUCAAAUAUAAUAGUUUCGAAAGCACAUGAUAUUGCAUUAAAAGCAAAGUGCAGCAUAAUUAAAUAGCAAAGUUGGUUGACGAGUUCGUCCGGAUUGCGCCGCAGUCGCUGCCAACGUACUUCAGCGCUGUCAUGCCUUAUCGCUGUUCUUUUGUAUGUUUGUGCCGAGUUUAAACAAACUGCUUCCUAUUGAGUUUUUGAACAAAUUAAACCAAUCUGCAUUUAACCAAAUUUUGCAACUAAUCGCAGCGAAGGAUGCGCUUUCUCCAUGCCUUGCAUUUGCAGUUUUUCUUGUGGCUGUAGUAGCUCCUAUGCGUGUGUGUGUUAAUUUUGACGUUUCAAACCAAGGCAAACAACCACUGCUCAUGUUUAUUUGAACCUUUACCCAUACUCAACUUUUGGCGUUUGUUUGUAAUGCUUUAGUAUUUUAAAUUUUGCUGUUCAAGCAGGAUAAAAAUAAAAUAAUGUGCAAGAAAGCAUUAGUUACAAAAUGAAGUUGUGCAUAAGUGUGUAUAAUAUAUAAGAAAUAUCAUAAUCAGCCAGUGAAAACUUAAAUAUAUUUCUUUCAGUUGUGAACUUCAUCGCAGUGCAGAAUGUGAAUUUUAACAAAAGAAAAGUGAUUUGAAAAGGAGCUAAAAAUAAUAAAGUAAUCACAAACGUCAGUUCCAAAUAAAUUUAAUUACUUCUUUACAUUUAAACCAAUUGUGUUGAAGUCAGAAAUAGUGAAAUAAAUAAAAUAAAGUAGAUUCAAACUACGUACGGAAUACACAAGCAAGAAUCCGCUACAGUCAACGCGCGUACGCAUCAUAGCAACCAGCUGGUUUCAGCCGUACGCCAUACGGUGUUGUUGUCAUUGCAAUGCAUCGAUCAUUGAAGCCGCACGCACAAGCUAAAAAGGUACCACCACCUGCGCUACCCGGAGAUCCCGCACCGCAACAACAGCAAAUACCAUUAUACCGUUUAGGUGGCAGUAUUUCGAGUGCAGCUGGCAAACAGCUGGAUGAUGGCAUUAUAAUGAGUAGCAUGGUAUCGUCGCCAUCCUUGGAGGAGGGCGGUUUCAAUUUGCCACGUGAGCCAUCGGUAGCAUUGCGCAUGAAAGAUGAAAUAAGCGAAUACGCUACAGUCAUGUCCACAUCAGGCACAUCACAAUCGUCGGGCUCCUCUGCCGGCACUGCUGCAGCUGGCAAACAACAAGCAGCUAAUCAAGUAGCCACUGGUGGCGCAACACUUUUAUCCACCGCAACUAAUCCGCUGCUCAGCGGUUGUCCACCCACAAUAGUGCCAUGUCCACCGCCCGUGUUUUGCGCCACACUACGCGAACCGCUCACACACAAAGCGGCCGUUUACUAUCAUCAACAAUUGGCGCUGCAAGAGGAUCAGGGUAUCGAUUUGACACAAUCGCCAGGGCGCGAUUCGCCCGGUUCGUCGUCGGGCUCAGCUGGUUCUGGUUCGCGACACUCUACAGCUAGCUUGGAUUCGGGUCGUGCCUCAUCGUAUUUGACUGGUGUGUCGGGUGCAUCGAUACGUGGUAGUGCGGGCGGUGCACUAUCAUCGCCACGUUGCAGUUCGGUGAGUUCAUGUUCGAUUGGUAGUGUCGAUCGGCAACGUAACGAUGAACUCAUCAUCGAUUGGCUAAUGGAGAUGAAGUGUGAGGAGUAUGCACAAUUGUUUAUAUCGGCCGGUUACGAUUUGCCGACUAUUGCACGAAUGACCCCCGAAGAUUUGACAGCGAUCGGCAUAAAAAAUCCACACCAUCGCGAGCGCAUAAAACAACGUAUCGAUAAGUUGCAAGUAUUGGAUAACUUGCCACAUUUCGUGCCGGGCUCCAUCGAAGAAUGGCUACAACUAUUGCGUCUCGAGGAAUACAUUCAACCAUUACUUGAUCAAAACUAUAAAACUGUACGCGACGUCACGCAAGUCACUUGGGAAGACUUGGAGGAUAUUGGUAUUGUUAAAUUGGGACAUCAAAAGAAGAUUCUCUUAGCCAUUAAGCGUGUAAAGGAUAUCAUAAGCGGAAAGUGGAAUCCAGGCGGUAUUAAUGCUUACCAACAGCAGGAUUAUCGCAACAAGAUUUGGCCCAGUGCCGUGCCAAUGCCCACCACACCGACCUAUUUGCCAACCACGCGCGUCUCGUGGGACGAUUCCAAGAUUUAUGCUACGCCCGGCGUCGACGCCGUCUACUUUUGCAGCGGCGCUCAUCACGAGUGCUGCAAUGGCAACGAUGUGGUGCCCAUUAAGGUGCGCCAGCCACGCGGCAAAAGCUUAGAAUCACUCGAGGAUAUACACGACAACAGCACACGCAGCCAUUUGACCUUUAGCCAUUACACGGCCACUGAUUAUGGCCACUUUGCGCAUCCAACGCCUGCUAUGCAACAACAACAUCAUCAACAAGCCUUGCAACACCAGCAGCAACAGCAUCAGCAAGCUAUGCAACAGCAUCAUCAGGCAGCCAUGAUGGGCGGCGCUGUUGUGGGCGGACCCGGUGGUGCUGGCGGUGCACGUUUGCUUAGCAAUCAGGCAGCUAUGUCUUGGCGCCGUUCCUACGAUGAUGGUGACAUUACGCCCACCAACGACGCUGCACGCGAACUCAUGUACGAGGAAGGCGGCGGUACACUACCACGUCAGCAGCGGGGCAUUUUGCAGCGUGCCGUAUUGAACAGCAUGCCACCACUCGAGCAUCACUAUAUGAACGCAGCUGCCGCAGCGGAAUAUGUUUGCCAUGCAGGUGGAUUGGGCGGCGUUGGCGUGCCAGGUGCGGCUGCGCAUGUGGGCGCAACAGGCCCAGCUGGUUGUGUGCUGGACAGCGCCGGUCUGAAUGCAUCUUACUUGACCGGCAGUCCAAUGAGUAAUAAGAAAAUCGCACCGGAACCACCGCGACGUCAUUGUAGUAUACGAAAUUCACGUACGCUGAGUGCGGAUGGCGCACAACAACAGCAACAGUUGCAACAACAACAACAGAUGGGAUUGCAUGUCGGCGCAGCCGUUACGCCCGGUCUCUACUAUGGCGGCGCUGGCGCCUUACAUCAUGGUGGCAUGUAUAUGACGCAUGCGCAACAACAAGCCGCAGCAGCGGCGGCAGCUGCCAAUCAGCCGAUCUAUGCGAAUUACGCAACCAUACAACAGACCACGGCGGAAAUACACUGCGAGAAAUUCCAUGACAAUAAGUCAAAUUCCAGCAUCGAUUCCAUUGACACCAUACCGUUCGCCAAUGAGAACACUGGCACCAUCAAACAGCGUCUACUGAACCGCCAAGACAUUGGUGGACCACAGCAGCCGCUACAAUCGGGCAACACACCACAUCUGCACUCCUCCUCGUCGUCGUCCUCGUCUUCGUCGACCAACACCAUCGCCAAUAUAGCGCACUCUUUCCAUUCGCUGAAGACAUCUGCCUCGUUGCAUGACGCUUCGCUGAUACGCAGCGACAGCAUCGGCAGCACCACAAGCGGCGGCAGCGCUGGCGCCAGUACCGGCGGUGGUGGCAGCAAUAGCUUAUUGCUACUACGCUCUCCCACCCUACAAUAUCCACCGACCGAUGUAACGAAUGCCAGCAGCGGCGGCGCAUCAACGACUAUCACCACUACCGUGGACUUGCAUACACCCAGCGGCGCUGAGUCUAAUGCGGAUGCAGCUGGCGAUGGCGCGCCCUUAACCGGCAGCGAGGCUGCCGAUAUAUCAAGUGGCAACGCUGGCGCCGGCGCGACCACAAUUCAAACACCGGGUCAAAAGGUGUCUGUCAAUGUGCUCAAUGACAUUGGUAAUAUGUUGGCCAAUUUGACGGACGAACUCGAUGCCAUGCUGGAAGAGGAGAAGCGCAUUGGCCUGAAUAUUGAUAGUGAAUAAGCACAUAUUGGGGAGCAUGCUGCUCAAGGGCGUACAUAGGUACACGUAGUUAAUACAUAUAUGCGCAUGUGUGUGUUCUGCAAGUUGGGAAUUUAUACAUUAAUGGGUCUUACAUAAAAUGUUAGCGAAACAUGCGCGUGUGUACGCUUAAGCUUCAAGACAAAAGACAUUUCAUUCACAAAUUUCGCCUCUGUUCUUUUCGGCCUCUAGCGCUUUAUGGAAAGAAAUUAUGAAAGUUCAACUGUAUAUACAUUUUGAGUUUUAAAUCAAUCACUGGAAUAAUUCAGUAGUAUCGGAUAACGUUGGAUAAUUUUAUCAUGCGUUUUUAUAUAUAUUAAAUGUUUCAAUAAUUUUUUUUUAUUUAGUUGCGCGAAUAAGCAACGGAUAACGCCGUAUAACUAAUUUAAGAGCUGAAAAACAAUUUAAAUUUUUUUGUAUGCAUAUAGGUUCCGCCGGAUAAGUGGUUUUCGGCCUUGUAUAUUUAUUUUAAAAUUCAAAGCGCGCUUAAAUUUGUAAAAUAUAUCAAGUGGCUUAAUUUAUUUAUUAUGUAAUUGACUUUAUUUUGAAAUUUUAAAAAAGUCGUUGAAAUCUGUGUCGGAUAAGGUCGAAACAUUUUAGUAUACAUGCAAAAAAAAUCUAAUACAUAUAAUUUAUUUGCUCGGAUAAUGAAAUAAGCUACGGAUAACGCCGGAUAAUUGUUUUAAGCACUGAAAAACAAUUAAAAUUUACUUGUAUGCAUAUUAGUUCUACCGGAUAACCGUUUUUCAGCCUUGUAGGCAUAUUUUGAAGCUUAAAGCAUGCUUAAUAUUUGUAAAAUAUAUCAGGUGACUUAAUUUGUUUAUUAUAUAAUUGACGUUAUUUUGAAUUUUUGAAACAUUCGUUGAAAUCAGUGUCGGAUAACGUCGGAUAAUUUUGUUAUGCGUGCUAAAAAAAUUCUAAUAUGUGUAUACAUAUAAUAUAAAAUGCUUGAAGAUAUUUAUUUCAUUAAUUUAGUUGCGCGGAUAAUAAAAUAAACUGGAUAACGCCGGAUUACUAUUAUAACGACUUAGAAAUAACUAAACUUUAAUUUUGCGCAUAUAAAUAAGGCCGGAUAAGCGCUUUCAGCCUUGUGUGCAUAUUUUGAAGCUUCAAAAGUUUUUUAUGAUUCAAUAAGCAAUGAAUGCCUUUGCUUUGAAGCUUUACUGAUCGCACGCGCAUAUGUAGUUUAGUUGCGUCUAACACUUGAGUGUCUUAGUUGUUAGUUUUGUUUAAAUAUUAUAACUAAAGUGUUUAGUAUCUAUCAUUUCCUCAUAAAGGAACUUAUAUGUAUGAGUAAUUGUUGUAUAUACGCACAUGAUACGCGUAAAUAUAAUACUUUUUAUACGCAUUUUAUAUUUUACGUGCAUAAGUAUUUAUAGCAGUGUAUUAUGUAUUUGUAUAAAUUUCUCUUGUUUUGUAGUUAAAGAAAGAAAGUAAAAUUGUAACUUAGCAGUUGUAAAGCUCGUCUAACUUUUUUUUAUGGAAACUGCUGUUUUAGUGGCGCUUACUGGCAGCGAUGAGGAAGAAAAUAUUUAAACAUUGAAGAAAUACUAGAAUAAUAAUAGUUUUUUUUAUUAUUAUUAUUAUUUUGAAAUAUUUUUGUUUUAAUUUUUUUUUCAAGUUUUAAUUUAUAAAAAUUAUUUUUUUUUUAUAAAUAUUUGGUCUUAAAGCUUCACAUAGCUUUAACGUGUGUCAAUAAUGAUUGCAAACAGUUGUAAAAUAAUAUUAUUUUUUAAACAAAAAUAUUAAAUAUAAAUAAAAAUUGUUUGAAAAAAACCAACAUUU